AAGCAGACCUGUUCUAUCGCUGUCUUUGUAGUAAUACAGGAGAGAGGAAAGUCCGGGCAACAUAGAGCGACACGCUUCCUAACGGGAAGGAUUCUAGCAAUAGAAGACAGAAAGUGCCACAGAAAAUAUACCGCCUUGCAAAAGGUAAGGGUGAAAAUGUGAGGUAAGAGCUCACGGUCUUAUAUGGUGACAUAUAUUUCGGUAAACCUCGUGUGUUGAAAGACCAAAUAGGUUGCGAAAUCUGAAGGCUGCUCGUCUUUUGUUAUCGUUGAUAACAUUCGCAAUGGGUAGGUUGAUUGAGCUUGUGUGUGAAUGCAAGCCUAGAGAAAUGAUAGAAGCCCUUUGGGGUACAGAACCCGGCUUAUAGGGUUUGCUUCUUU
RNAcentral lists this RNase P RNA (380 nucleotides) under Sphingobacterium sp. UT-1RO-CII-1. Its description in RNAcentral is "RNase P RNA component class A". It matches the Rfam family "Bacterial RNase P class A". From Rfam's summary of the family: Ribonuclease P (RNase P) is a ubiquitous endoribonuclease, found in archaea, bacteria and eukarya as well as chloroplasts and mitochondria. Its best characterised activity is the generation of mature 5'-ends of tRNAs by cleaving the 5'-leader elements of precursor-tRNAs. Cellular RNase Ps are ribonucleoproteins. The record is from RNAcentral. Lineage: Bacteria; Pseudomonadati; Bacteroidota; Sphingobacteriia; Sphingobacteriales; Sphingobacteriaceae.